UCGCGGUGAAUACGUUCCCGGGUCUUGUACACACCGCCCGUCACACCAUGGGAGCGGGUUUUACCAGAAGUAGGUAACCGCAAGGAGCGUCCUAGGGUAAAACCGAUAACUGGGGCU
Molecule: ribosomal RNA, 117 nt
Filed under: uncultured bacterium
Lineage: Bacteria
Description: partial 16S ribosomal RNA
Rfam family: Bacterial small subunit ribosomal RNA
Source: RNAcentral